UACGGAGGAUCCGAGCGUUAUCCGGAUUUAUUGGGUUUAAAGGGUGCGCAGGCGGGGGAUUAAGUCGGCGGUGAAAUUUUGCAGCUCAACUGUAAAAGUGCCUUCGAAACUGGUUUCCUUGAGUGUAGAUGAAGUAGGCGGAAUUUGUGGUGUAGCGGUGAAAUGCAUAGAUAUCACGAGGAACUCCGAUUGCGCAGGCAGCUUACUAAACCAUAACUGACGCUCAUGCACGAAGGCGUGGGGAUCAAACAGGAUUAGAUACCCCGGUAGU
This 271-nucleotide ribosomal RNA is filed under the name uncultured prokaryote. Its description in RNAcentral is "partial 16S ribosomal RNA". It matches the Rfam family "Bacterial small subunit ribosomal RNA", at positions 524 to 794 of the family's 1533-position model. The record is from RNAcentral.